RNAcentral lists this ribosomal RNA (253 nucleotides) under uncultured bacterium. RNAcentral's name for it is "partial 16S ribosomal RNA". It matches the Rfam family "Bacterial small subunit ribosomal RNA", at positions 524 to 776 of the family's 1533-position model. The record is from RNAcentral.
UACAGAGGUCCCAAGCGUUACUGAGAAUCACUGGGUUUAAAGGGUGCGUAGGUGGUGCGUUAAGUCAGUUGUGAAAUCCCCGGGCUCAACCCGGGAACUGCUUCUGAUACUGGCGGACUUGAGGCCAGUAGGGGUCACUAGAACUGACGGUGGAGCGGUGAAAUGCGUAGAUAUCGUCAGGAAUGCCGGUGGUGAAGGCGGCUGACUGGGCUGGUUCUGACACUGAGGCGCGAAAGCGUGGGGAGCGAACAGG